This 253-nucleotide ribosomal RNA is filed under the name uncultured bacterium. RNAcentral's name for it is "partial 16S ribosomal RNA". It matches the Rfam family "Bacterial small subunit ribosomal RNA", at positions 524 to 776 of the family's 1533-position model. The record is from RNAcentral.
GACAGAGGUGCCGAGCGUUAGGCGGAAUCACUGGGCUUAAAGCGUGUGUAGGCGGAUUCCUAAGUACCUUGUGAAAUCCCACGGCUUAACCGUGGAACUGCUUGGUAUACUGGGUGUCUUGAGCCAACUAGAGGCAGUCGGAACAAACGGUGGAGCGGUGAAAUGCGUAGAUAUCGUUUGGAACGCCAAUGGUGAAAACAGACUGCUGGGGUUGUGCUGACGCUGAGACACGAAAGCCAGGGGAGCGAACGGG